CGCAGACGCACGCGCAGACGCACGCGCAGACGCACGCGCAGACGCACGCGCAGACGCACGCGCAGACGCACGCCAGGAGUGGAAGCCCCCGCACAGCGAAGCUUCCGCCCGGCGGCGGAGGCCCGGGGUUGGUGAAGCGUCGAGGCGGGCACGGCGGCUGGUUCGGCCUCUCGCUCCGCUGCUUGGGCCGGCUCCUUAACUCCCUGUCACCUGGGCCCCUAGUGCGGGUGUCCUGGAGCGCUAGCCCGCCGCGGCGCCCAGGUACGAAGAAUGGUGAUUAUCAUACAAAUGGGAAGAAAGGCAAAGAAGAUGCUUUUUUUUGUUUUAGGUUGGGCAACUGAACAGAAACUGCAAUUUUAGGAUGAAGAAGGGUGGAGGAAGAACGAGCCGGAUCAGAAGACGGAAACUCUUCAGAUGUUCUGUAUCAAGAGGAGUGAAUGAGAGCUACAAGCCUGAAUUUAUAGAGCUUAAGAAGUGGCUGAAAGAUAGGAAGUUUGAAGAUACAAACUUAAUACCUGCUUGUUUUCCAGGUACAGGAAGAGGGCUGAUGAGCAAAACAUCCCUGCGGGAGGGGCAGAUGAUUAUUUCGUUGCCUGAGAGUUGCCUGAUCACCACGGACACAGUGAUUAGAAGCUACUUAGGGACAUACAUUGCUAAGUGGCAGCCUCCUCCAUCUCCUCUGCUGGCUCUGUGCACCUUUUUAGUUUCAGAAAAGCAUGCUGGGGACCAGUCUCUCUGGAAGCCUUACCUGGAGAUUUUGCCGCAGGCCUACACCUGCCCUGUGUGUUUGGAGCCAGAAGUGGUGAAUCUUUUCCCCAAACCUUUGAAAGCAAAGGCCGAAGAGCAGAGAGCCCGUGUGCAGGAGUUCUUUUCUUCCUCCAGAGACUUUUUCUCUUCCCUGCAGCCCCUGUUUUCUGAGACUGUAGAGAGCAUCUUUAGCUACAGGGCCCUCCUAUGGGCCUGGUGCACGGUCAACACCAGAGCUGUGUACGUGAAGCACAGGCAGAGGCAAUGCUUCUCCAUGGAGCCAAACACCUACGCUCUUGCCCCAUACUUGGAUCUGCUGAAUCAUAGCCCCGAAGUCCAGGUAAAAGGAGCAUUUAAUGAAGAAACUCGCUGUUACGAAAUUAGAACGGCUUCAAAUUGUAGGAAACACGAAGAGGUGUUCAUCUGCUAUGGCCCUCAUGAUAACCAGCGGCUGCUCCUGGAGUAUGGAUUUGUUUCCAUCCAUAAUCCUCAUGCUUGUGUUUAUGUCUCAGAAGAUAUACUUGUUAAAUACCUUCCAACAACAGACAAACAGAUGAACAAGAAGAUUUCCAUUUUGAAGAAUCAUGACUUUAUAGAAAAUUUGACAUUUGGAUGGGAUGGACCAUCUUGGAGGUUGCUCACAGCUCUUAAGUUGUUAUGUCUGGAAGCCGAAGAAUUUACAUGCUGGAAAAAAAUACUUCUUGGGGAAGUCAUUUCAGAUACAAAUGAGAAGACAAGUUUGGUCAUAGCUCAGAAAAUAUGCCAAUAUUUCAUAGAAGAGACCAAUGCUAUGCUUCGAAAGAUUUCUCAUAUGAAAGAUGAAGAAGUGACUUUGCUAAACCAGCUAACUUUAGUAGAAACAUUGUGGACAGAAGAGCUAAAGAUUCUGCAGGCCUCUGCUGAGAUUCUAAACAGCUUGCGAACACCUUUUAGGGUGCUGGUGAGGGUUGGAUUGGCACAGCAGCAAGGCCAAGCACUUCUCUUCCCAGCAGCGACAGGAAAGGAUGCAGGCGGAGCGCUGGUCAGCACCAUUCACUCCCCUCCUCACUGCUCUGCCUCCAAGGCUACCUGUGGAAAUCAGCUGUGCGCUUAUACUGACCCAUAGGAACAAGUCUCUCUACUCCCAGUAGACUCUUCUUCAGCACUAGAAGAGUAUGUUAGGCCAAGGUUGAUGGACUAGGAAACCCUGCUGGAUCAUCUCCAGAAGGCACUGCAGAGGUGAUAAGAACAAGGAAUGACUAGUCUAAUGGGUAGAAAAAUAGCUUCUUUGUCAACUCAAUUGCAAAUGAAUGAAAAAGAAUUUCUGUGCCUUGACUGGAUGUGGCCGUAUCUCCCUCAGAAGAGGCACAGCUGGACUCUGAUGUGGACUAACUUCUACAGAGAGACUUUUCUUUGUAAAGGACAUUGCUUCUUAAUGGCUGAGUUCAAAGCAAACUUUAAAAAUUCCAAUCGAUUUCUCAUUUAUUACAUUUUGUUUUGUAAAAGAUUUUCUGCCAGUGAUUUCAGAAUGAAGGUGCCAAUAGUAAAAUAAUUGGUUUAUAAAUGGAAAGUUAAUCAGGCAUUCCCCUUUACACCAUCCCCUCCAAGGUCAGGGAUAUGACUGAAAUGCAAAGAAAACGCAGUGUACCAUUGGGAGAUGAGAGGUCUAUGUGAAAGGUCAUCAGCCUUAAGACUCCUUACAGAGAUAAGUGUUGAAGCAAAUGGCUUCAUGAGCUUUGGAGGAACAGGACAUAGUUGUACCUGGGAACAGAAGAAUGGUAUCUGCAGUUAUAUUAAUUGGGAUAACAAUUAUGAAAGUACCAGAAGCCUCAAGUUUCAGAGCCCACACUAAUCCCCAGGAAUACUUUUCCCCUGGUGGAUAUAAUAUUGCUGUUUUCCAGGUGCAUUCCUAAGAUAAAUUACAUUUCUCAGGCUCACUUAGUAUAGGCCACUAUCAGGAACAGGAUUUGGGGGUUGCCAGAAGUUUCUUUGGUUUCAUCCAGACAACUCUCUGCUUUCCUGGAGUGUCAGUGAACUUGAUGGAAAGGGUCAAAGCUGACUUGACUUUUAUCUGGAAGUAUGAGCUCUGUGUCAUGGUUUCAGUGAAACACAAGGCAGUUUGUUAGGGCUCAACAUGGUCUUUGAGAUUCUUCUCUAAUUCUUCAUCUGCCACCCUGACUGGCUCCACACUUGUUCUUUAGAAGACUGACUCAGAGGUCUACCAUGGUAAGCAUGGAAACAGAGUAGAAGGAUCUGGAAUAACUACUGGCCUCCUGCUUCCUGAAAGGAUUCCUGUUUACAUGAUGAUAAUGUAUUUCUUUAAGAUGUUGACUCACAUGUAGCUGCGUCCUGCCUAGAGACAGGGUCUGCUGUGUUGAAUGGCUGCUUUAGAUUUUCAUGGCCUUCUAUUGAACAUAGAUUAUGUUUUCCUGGAAAAUAGAACAUUAAAAUACUUGGUAAUUCUUCCAUAAACUGAGCUGAAUUCCAAGAACAGCAUGUAGGUAAUCCUACCUGAUUCACCUUCAGAGCUCUACUUUGAAUUUCUGUUGGUGGCAACAGAGCCCGUCAUGAAAAACAGCAUACUUCACCUUUGAAAAUGAAGAGUUACCUUAAAAAAAGGCCAGACAGGUUUUAAAAAGUUGUUGUUUAAGGCUUUUGUCUGAUCCUUAUCUGAAUGAGAAACCCUUCAACGUAACAAAAAUAUCUAGUCUCAAGCCAUUGGUGGUUUAUAUGACAUAUUCCAAAACCCUUGUAGGAAACUUAGAUGGCAUUUGAAAGGGUCAGUGUGACAGAAGUAUAUUCCAUAAACACAUUCAUUUCAACCAGUGACGUUUCUGUAUUCCCACUGGGGUUGACUUUUGAAGCCGUAGAUAAGUAAGACUUGGCACAUAUGAGACACUGCAGGUUUUGCAAGCUCAAUGUGUCAUUUCUCUCUUUCUCUACCCCUCUCUACAGGAAAUACUAAGUUAUUAAGUUCACUGCUAUUUCCUGAAAUGGCAUUGCUAUUUCCUGUCUGAAGAGCUGUAGGGGCAGGUUUCUAGGACACUGUGCCUAAGAGUUAAUGAUUCCACUGCUCAUGUUUCCCAGAAUAUUUCAUUCUCUCUUUUCUGUUAGGCAAAGAUCCAGGGGGGUUAGGUCUGAGAAGCAACACAAAACAUAUGCCACUCCCUACUUGGACUCUCCCUGAGAGUAAGUCACUUUUUUUCCCUCUGGAAACUGCUGCCACUUUUGGACAAUGUCUCAUGGAUGUCUGGUGACACAGAGGAUGGGGAGGGGACUGGACAGGAAGGUACAGGAGCUCUUUGCCAUUGCAUUCCUGCUUGCUUGGCCAGAAUUGGUUAGGAACAGGGAAGAGAGCAUUUAGGUUGAGUUUGCUAUAGAAGAUGAAGGGAAGCCAGGCAAGACACUCAUUAUAGACACAUAUGCUUCAUAUUUAAAGAAAAAUAUAUUUUUAGGUUAAAUUAACUUCAGAAGCAUAAACCAGGAUGAUUUCUGUUAGAGCACUGUUGAGUUCCCUGCCCCUCAGGUUCCACAAACCUGCCCUUACAACCAUCCUUUCACAUUGAGUCCUUACCUGUUUCAGGGUCCGUGGGCUGGUAAUGAGCCCAUCCCCAGGCUGAGAAUAUCUGUGGUUGCCAGAAGCUCACAGAGAAGAGCAUCUGAAUGCGUUUUAUCUUUCAGCUGAAAUGACUUCCUAAGGACACACACAUAGUGUCAUUGUGACAUUUAUGGUCUUAAUUUCAAAUCCUUUUCCUAUCACAGAGAAAUAGUUCAAAUCACUAACCACCCAUUUGUCCAAGAAGCCAGAUCCUUUGGAAAUCACGCAAAAACACCCAAGAGCAAUAAUAAAACCAGCAACACAAAAUAGGUUAGAAAGUCUGUGAAGAUCUAUUCCUAUUGGUUUCUUUGGACAGUAGCCGGGAGGCAGCUUUGACAAUAUGAUCUCAGUUCAGUGGCAUAUGGCAUAGCAUAUUAAAGGAGGAAAGGGUGCAUGUCAAAGCCCAGUGCAUGAGGUCUAUGCUUCCCAGGCAGUGACUACCCAACCAAAAAUCACACUGGUGUUUGCAGUGGGCAUUUCUCAGAAAAGGGGAAAGGAAAGGAGAAGACAGAAAAGAUGGCUUUGUGAAGAUGACACAGAGAUUAGAAUUAUGAAAUUUCAAGUCAAGGAACACCAAUCCCAUAGUGUUGGGCAGCUUCUGUGGCUCACCAGUCUCCUCUAUAAGGAACACAAUUUUUUUUUUUUAGAUGUUAAUCUAGUCAUGAGGGUCUUGCUGGUCUGGGAGCUAUUCUAUCUCUUGAACCUCCUUUGUGUUCAUUAUCUGAUGGUUUUACAGAUUAACUCAUAGAAUCACCACUUUAUUCCUCAAAAAUUCUUGGGACAGUGAUGUAAGGGGGAGAUCCACUUCCAUAGAAAGUGUACUCUGCAAGGGCAGAGAUUAUCAAAGUAUAUAUUUUUGUUUCUGUAUGCAUUUUCCUGUGAGACCUUGCCAGCUCUGACUGGUUCCAUGUCUAUUUUCUGAGGCCAUGAUGGUAAAAUCAACAUCACUGCCAUCCUACUAUACCAAGUCCUCUUCCAAAGGAGUUGUGGACACUAGAUAGAAGAUAAAGCAGAGACACAAAUUAUCUGAACUUUGGUGUAACUUUCUCUCCAGGGUCAAGACCAUCCUUUCCUGUCUCCUCCAAAGAAGACACUGAUUCAAAUGUCUUUCCUAAUUAAAAACCGAGUUUUUCUAAGACACACAUUUUAUGGAAGGUAGAAUGCUUGUGCGAGUCUUGUAGGGUGGGUAGGAGUUACUCUUCUGGUGACUAGGUGGGGUAAGGAUGGUCUAGGUGGGGGGAAUGCACAUGAGGAGGCUUUGGUGGGGAUGGAACGCUGGCUUGGUAUACAUACUGAGCAGUGUCAGUGAUAUGGAUCCACUGGGAAGGCAGGGUUAGUAUCAUGAUCAGAUUGAAUUUUUGAAAGAGCCUUUUGAUGCCCUGAUGGAGCAUGGGCAGUAGUGGGAUGAGUUCUCCCUACUUUCUGGCAGGGAGAACUGCCAGCAGACAAUGGAAGGAAGUAGUAAGUGCCAAGUGGGAUUUGAUCUUGAUCUGCAUGGUUUUAGAACAUUUUAUGUCUCAACUCAUAUCACAUUUCUUCUCCAUCCAUCUUUCAGAGGUGUUGUGAAGCACAAAUGAGAUAAAAAGUAGCAAGGUAUGUGCAAGAGCAGCCUAAAUUAUUAGAAACAGCUCCUAAGAAUGACAUUCUGUUAUGCUGAGUAGACAAGAAAAACAGACCAGACCUCACACAAGGCCGCAUAGAAUAGGAGAAAGAGGGAUGGGUAAUGAUGUGGGGUGUAUUUCUCACAGUCUAACUUUUCAAUCAUUAUGGGAAUUCAUAAUUUAGAUGCCUUUUUUUUGAAGCAAAAAUAAACAUAAUAUGCAAUUAAGCCACUGUCCGUGACACGUAUUUCUGGAAGACGAAUCAUGCCUCCAUAACAUUUACUAAAUAAAACACAGAGAACAUGAUCCAUACAUCAGAAAGAAGUUGCAGCCUCUUCCUAGGGUGUAGGAUCAGUUACAUCAAUGUUCCUAGCUCUGUACCUGGUACGUUGUAGGUGGCCAUUACAUUAAAAAACAUAAUGUAGGGAACCUACACGUUUCUUUGCCCCUGCUGGCAUGCAAUUUUGUUUUCUCUCUAUAAUGCAACUGGAAUUAUUCAAACUAAUCAAACAUUUGCCUUUACAAAUAUAAGAGGCUUCUAAUACACAUUUUGGUUAUGUCCGCUUACACUUUUCUUUUUCUUGGUCGUAUGCAAACAUUGGGUGAACCCUGAGCUUGGGAACCUUUCUGUUCUUUUCUCCUUGUUUUUGUUAGCUGAGGUUGGAGGUUGAAUGCUGAAUAAACUCAUCUCUGGGUCUCAGAACUCUUGAUGAAGGCAAUUCUGCCCUCUGAUAUUAUGUGUAAUAUAAUAUUGGUAAUUUGACCUGUUUGAUUUCUACAUAAGCUGUCAUUUUAUACACCUACAGAAAGCAAGGGAGGAAAUGAAUGAAGAGGAUGUUUCUAGUAGCAAACAGAAACAGUCAGUUACCAAAAGCUAUCCUUGCUCAAGUAACUACUUAAGUAUUUUAUUUAAGAAUUUUCGAUUGUAGCUGUGUAUUUUGUGCUUCUGGGUGUUCUGGUAAAUGGUCAGUAAUGACUUUGAGUUUGGUUAUAAAAUGUUACCUAAUAGUUUAAUAUCACUUGUAUGCAGAAAGUAAUCAAUAUUUUUAUAAAGUAUGUGUAUUAUUGAUAAAUGGUUGGGAUAAACUAUAACAUUUUUAUCUGAUGAAAACAGUAAUACAAACUCAUUUUAUAGCAAAUAUAGGAAAUACAUGAAGGUGCAGAAAUUACCUGGGAUCCAUUACUCAACUAUAAAUGCCAUUAUUUGAAGUAUUUCCUUUUUUUUGUUUAUGAAUAUGUAAAAUAACUGUAUGUGAAUAUAUAUAUAUAUAUACUACAUUAUAAAAUCCUG
Molecule: RNA transcript, 7216 nt
Organism: Nyctereutes procyonoides (raccoon dog)
Lineage: Eukaryota; Metazoa; Chordata; Mammalia; Carnivora; Canidae
Gene: SETD4
Gene name: SET domain containing 4
Exons: 14
Source: RefSeq, a predicted model, not a curated record